RNAcentral lists this ribosomal RNA (381 nucleotides) under uncultured bacterium. RNAcentral's name for it is "bacterial SSU rRNA". It matches the Rfam family "Bacterial small subunit ribosomal RNA", at positions 28 to 409 of the family's 1533-position model. The record is from RNAcentral.
GACGAACGCUGGCGGCGUGCUUAACACAUGCAAGUCGAGCGGUAAGGCCCUUUCGGGGGUACACGAGCGGCGAACGGGUGAGUAACACGUGGGUGACCUGCCCUCAGCUCUGGGAUAAGCCCGGGAAACUGGGUCUAAUACCGGAUAUGACUCCAUGACGCAUGUUGUGGGGUGGAAAGCCUUGUGCGGCUGAGGAUGGGCCCGCGGCCUAUCAGCUUGUUGGUGGGGUGANGGCCUACCAAGGCGACGACGGGUAGCCGGCCCGAGAGGGCGACCGGCCACACUGGGACUGAGACACGGCCCAGACUCCUACGGGAGGCAGCAGGUGGGGAAUCUUGCGCAAUGGGCGAAAGCCUGACGCAGCGACGCCGCGUGAGGGAU